AGGUGCCCCGGGAAAACUUGGGGGAGAAUGGGCAUCCCACCCCAGCACUUUCUAGGAAGAAGGGCAGCAUUUUGAAGGGCUGGAAGUAGAGGAAGGAGGUUGCGGGUAGAAGACUCCAUACUUUCUGUGACGCCUAUUCCUUAGCUUGUGAUGAAUGUUUUCUCAGUAUCCUAUGCUGAAAACAGGUAGAUACUAAUAUCGAUCUUCAAGGGAGGGCUGUUGAGUAUUGAAUAAGACAAAAACAUGGAAGCAAUCAGCACCAUGCUGGAAUCAAGGCUAUCUGUAAUCACAGGGCUAUUUGAAAAAGAGAAGAAAAGGUGUCUUGAAAUUCAACCAACAUGUUUCAAUUAUUUGCUCCUAAGAACAACAGAAGUUUCAACAUUCUGCCAACAGAGUAACUCCUGGAAGAUUGGCACAGAAGAAGGCACAAGGAGAGCCUUUAUAUAACCAAAGAUAUUUUUGGACCAUGAAUUCAGAAAUUCUCGGAGCCACCCAUCAGUGCCUGAGCUUCAGUGAGUCCAUAUCCCAUGUCACCCACGGCAAAGGAGACUCUAAGACUUCUGAAGAGUUUCUUGCUUCUUUCCUGUGGGGCAGUGACUCCACUUCCCAGCAGUAAUGGAAUAUCCUGAAUUAGCUACAUUAAUGUUAGAACCAUUUGGACCUCACCCAGGACUUCAACUACAUUAUGCUAAAGUUACAGAACCCAAAUUUGGCAACUGUCUGCAUCUGAACAACAGAAGUUUCAACAUUCUGCCAACAGAGUAACUCCUGGACGAUUGGCACAGAAGAAGGCACAAGGCAAAUACCCAUCUCUGUACACCCUGUGCUACUGUGUCAUGUGCUGCUCCAGGCAACUCCAAUGGAUUGGCCACCCUGGCCAAUGUGUUCUAGUAUGUUACGUUUAUGUUCCCCUGCUUUCUACAAUCCUGUUCAAAGAGUUGCUGACUUAACCACAGAGAGGAUUCCAGAACCUGAGACACAGAAUAAACUUGAGCAAUCAUAGUCCAUCCACUUCAUUGUCUCAUCAAAAACCAAAGGUCCAGUGAAGCUCUGGAACUCAACGCUGUAAAGGAGCGAAGGAGCUUCUAUACAGAGCCUGGAUGCCUGUCUCCUUAUCCUACUUCAGUGGACUUGACUGCAAUCCGGAUUAUGCUGUUUUCUAAGCAUUUAAAAUAAAAUAAAAAGUAUAA
This 1190-nucleotide long non-coding RNA is filed under the name Homo sapiens (human). RNAcentral describes it as "STARD13 antisense RNA". Lineage: Eukaryota; Metazoa; Chordata; Mammalia; Primates; Hominidae. The record is from RNAcentral.